Molecule: long non-coding RNA, 107 nt
Organism: Myotis brandtii (Brandt's bat)
Lineage: Eukaryota; Metazoa; Chordata; Mammalia; Chiroptera; Vespertilionidae
Exons: 3
Source: RefSeq, a predicted model, not a curated record
AGGAGAUCUGUCAACUUCAGAGAUGGCAAGUAGAUGCCCAUGACUUCCAGGAGAGUGUUUUUCAGUCUCUGUAAAUGGCUUAAGGAAAUGCUCAACUUCCAAGUGCC